GGCCCUAUAGUUAAAUGGAUAUAACGGAACCCUCCUAAGGUUCAGUUGGCGGUCCGAUUCCGCCUGGGGCUA
Molecule: transfer RNA, 72 nt
Filed under: Candidatus Physcosoma equi
Lineage: Bacteria; Pseudomonadati; Spirochaetota; Spirochaetia; Spirochaetales; Sphaerochaetaceae
Description: tRNA-Arg
Rfam family: tRNA
About the family: Transfer RNA (tRNA) molecules are approximately 80 nucleotides in length. Their secondary structure includes four short double-helical elements and three loops (D, anti-codon, and T loops). Further hydrogen bonds mediate the characteristic L-shaped molecular structure. tRNAs have two regions of fundamental functional importance: the anti-codon, which is responsible for specific mRNA codon recognition, and the 3' end, to which the tRNAs corresponding amino acid is attached (by aminoacyl-tRNA synthetases). tRNAs cope with the degeneracy of the genetic code in two manners: having more than one tRNA (with a specific anti-codon) for a particular amino acid; and 'wobble' base-pairing, i.e. permitting non-standard base-pairing at the 3rd anti-codon position.
Source: RNAcentral